UAGAAGAUAUAUCCACUCAGUAGACUUUACAAGGAGAUAUACUAUCUGCCCUCCAGCUCUCUUUUUCCUAUCUCCUGAAUGUGUGAUUCCUUGGGACUUUCCAUGAUGGAAUGAAUGACCUCCUUAAUUAAGUACCAACUAAUCACCUGUAUGGUUCAUCUUAACUAUCCCUCCCUCCAAAAUAUGGAUCUUUGCUGUGUCCAGUCAAAAUAAGUCGAAUGCUCACCAACCAGAGAACCAAAGGCCCCGGAGUGGGAGGGCAAGCCUUGGACAAUUUGUUUGACCUCUCUGAGCCU
Phascolarctos cinereus (koala) is the source of this 296-nucleotide long non-coding RNA. RefSeq lists it as uncharacterized. The record is from RefSeq and is a predicted model, not a curated record. Lineage: Eukaryota; Metazoa; Chordata; Mammalia; Diprotodontia; Phascolarctidae.